Molecule: long non-coding RNA, 539 nt
Filed under: Rattus norvegicus (Norway rat)
Lineage: Eukaryota; Metazoa; Chordata; Mammalia; Rodentia; Muridae
Description: long non-coding RNA NONRATT010893
Source: RNAcentral
AGAGAUUUAUUACACACACACACACACACACACACACACACACACACACAGAGUAGCGGUCUUCAGACACACCAGAAGAGGGCAUCAGAUCUCAUCACAGAUGGUUGUGAGCCACCAUGUGGUUUCUGGGAUUUGAACUCAGGACCUCUGCAAGAGCAGUCAGCGCUCUUAACCACUGAGCCAUCUCUCCAGCCCCCCUGACCCUUUUCUUAAUUCUGUGGGUGUUGGUGCUAAGAUGGGGCUAAUCUUCCAGUUUAUUAUCUCUUUUUCUGUGUGAGAAAACAAAGCCCUGACCUCCCCGGUGCUGACUAUUUGCCUCCUCCGUCCCAGAUGGAUUACCGGGCCUUGGUGCACGAGCGAGAUGAAGCAGCCUAUGGGGCGCUUAGGGCCAUGGUGCUGGACCUGAGAGCCUUCUAUGCUGAGCUUCAUCACAUCAUCAGCAGCAACCUAGAGAAAAUUGUCAACCCAAAGGGUGAAGAAAAGCCAUCUAUGUACUGAGCAAAGGAUUAGAAGGAAAAUAAAUGAUUUAUACUUUAUGU